This 73-nucleotide transfer RNA is filed under the name Yersinia phage fHe-Yen9-04. RNAcentral describes it as "tRNA-Arg-ACG". It matches the Rfam family "tRNA". Rfam says of the family: Transfer RNA (tRNA) molecules are approximately 80 nucleotides in length. Their secondary structure includes four short double-helical elements and three loops (D, anti-codon, and T loops). The record is from RNAcentral. RNAcentral also lists the same sequence under 1 other name. Lineage: Duplodnaviria; Heunggongvirae; Uroviricota; Caudoviricetes.
GUUCUUAUAGCUCAAUUGGAUAGAGUUGCCGCCUACGAAGCGGUCGAUAUAGGUUCAAAUCCUUUUAGGAACA